Molecule: ribosomal RNA, 468 nt
Filed under: uncultured bacterium
Lineage: Bacteria
Description: partial 16S ribosomal RNA
Rfam family: Bacterial small subunit ribosomal RNA
Source: RNAcentral
GACGAACGCUGGCGGCGUGCUUAACACAUGCAAGUCGAACGGAAAGGCCCUGCUUUUGUGGGGUGCUCGAGUGGCGAACGGGUGAGUAACACGUGAGUAACCUGCCCUUGACUUUGGGAUAACUUCAGGAAACUGGGGCUAAUAUCGGAUAGGAGCUCCUGCUGCAUGGUGGGGGUUGGAAAGUUUCGGCGGUUGGGGAUGGACUCGCGGCUUAUCCGCUUGUUUGUGGGGUAGUUGCUUACCAAGGCUUUGACGGGUAGCCGGCCUGAGAGGGUGACCGGCCACAUUGGGACUGAGAUACGGCCCAGACGCCUACGGGAGGCAGCAGUGGGGAAUAUUGCGCAAUGGGCGGAAGCCUGAUGCAGCAACGCCGCGUGCGGGAUGACGGCCUUCGGGUUGUAAACCGCUUUCGCCUGUGACGAAGCGUGAGUGACGGUAAUGGGUAAAGAAGCACCGGCUAACUACGUG